Molecule: ribosomal RNA, 628 nt
Filed under: uncultured bacterium
Lineage: Bacteria
Description: bacterial SSU rRNA
Rfam family: Bacterial small subunit ribosomal RNA
Source: RNAcentral
GCGAGCGGCGGAUGGGUGAGUAACACGAGGGGAAACCUGCCCCAUAGUCUAGGAUACCACUUGGAAACCGGUGCUAAUACCGGAUAAGAAAGCAGAUCGCAUGAUCAGCUUUUAAAAGGCGGCGUAAGCUGUCGCUAUGGGAUGGCCCCGCGGUGCAUUAGCUAGUUGGUAAGGUAAAGGCUUACCAAGGCGAUGAUGCAUAGCCGAGUUGAGAGACUGAUCGGCCACAUUGGGACUGAGACACGGCCCAAACUCCUACGGGAGGCAGCAGUAGGGAAUCUUCCACAAUGGACGCAAGUCUGAUGGAGCAACGCCGCGUGAGUGAAGAAGGUUUUCGGAUCGUAAAGCUCUGUUGUUGGUGAAGAAGGAUAGAGGUAGUAACUGGCCUUUAUUUGACGGUAAUCAACCAGAAAGUCACGGCUAACUACGUGCCAGCAGCCGCGGUAAUACGUAGGUGGCAAGCGUUGUCCGGAUUUAUUGGGCGUAAAGCGAGCGCAGGCGGAAGAAUAAGUCUGAUGUGAAAAGCCCUCGGCUUAACCGAGGAACUGCAUCGGAAACUGUUUUUUCUUUGAGUGCAGAAAGAGGAGAGUGGAACUCCAUGUGUUAGCGGUGGAAUGCGUAGAUAUAU